UACGUAGGGGGCAAGCGUUAUCCGGAUUUACUGGGUGUAAAGGGAGCGCAGGCGGCGCGGCAAGUCUGAUGUGAAAGCCCGGGGCUCAACCCCGGGACUGCAUUGGAAACUGUCGCGCUCGAGUGUCGGAGGGGCAAGCGGAAUUCCUAGUGUAGCGGUGAAAUGCGUAGAUAUUAGGAGGAACACCGGUGGCGAAGGCGGCUUGCUGGACGACGACUGACGCUGAGGCUCGAAAGCGUGGGGAGCAAACAGG
Molecule: ribosomal RNA, 253 nt
Filed under: uncultured bacterium
Lineage: Bacteria
Description: partial 16S ribosomal RNA
Rfam family: Bacterial small subunit ribosomal RNA
Source: RNAcentral